RNAcentral lists this long non-coding RNA (425 nucleotides) under Olea europaea (common olive). RNAcentral's name for it is "long non-coding RNA (OEUR_LNC000145)". Lineage: Eukaryota; Viridiplantae; Streptophyta; Magnoliopsida; Lamiales; Oleaceae. The record is from RNAcentral.
UUAAGUUUGAGUUGUUAUAGCACUGCAUGACUAGAAUAUAAUGGUUAUGAUUUGUUCAUUGUCUAGUUCAUUUUGAUAGGGUCAUCUAUGGCUAACUAUUUGCUCUAUUUUGAACAUAAGUUCCAGAGUGGGAUUCCGUAAUUCAGUUGCAUUCAUGGUAGUUUAUUUGUUUUUUCAACGGUUGAUUAGAAUGAGAGAGGAAUUUCGGAGUUUGUCACUACUUUGGACAAUGCCAAACAAAAGGUAGAUGCCCUUCAUGUGAACGUGGAUUUCAAAAAUGUUUUGAGGUCGAACGGGAUAGUGGAAACAAAGGGUGCUUGUUCUUCACGUGUAGUAACAACUGUGGGUAUUUCGACUGGGUGAAAAAUGAAGAUUUAAUUGGGGAAUCGAGUAUCGUUAAUGAAUCGGUGAAUCAUAAGCCCAAC